UACGGAGGGUGCGAGCGUUGUCCGGAAUCAUUGGGCGUAAAGGGCGCGUAGGUGGCGGGACAAGCGUGCGGUGAAAGCCUGGGGCUCAACCCCGGGUCGGCCGUGCGAACUGUUUUGCUUGAGCACUGUAGAGGCAGGCGGAAUUCCGGGUGUAGCGGUGGAAUGCGUAGAGAUCCGGAAGAACACCGGUGGCGAAGGCGGCCUGCUGGGCAGUAGCUGACACUGAGGCGCGAAAGCGUGGGGAGCAAACAGG
This 253-nucleotide ribosomal RNA is filed under the name uncultured bacterium. RNAcentral's name for it is "partial 16S ribosomal RNA". It matches the Rfam family "Bacterial small subunit ribosomal RNA", at positions 524 to 776 of the family's 1533-position model. The record is from RNAcentral.